RNAcentral lists this long non-coding RNA (935 nucleotides) under Setaria viridis. RNAcentral's name for it is "long non-coding RNA (SVIR_LNC001297)". The record is from RNAcentral. Lineage: Eukaryota; Viridiplantae; Streptophyta; Magnoliopsida; Poales; Poaceae.
GGUUUCGGAAUUGAAAGUAUGAUUAUAAUAUGGUUUUGCAAGUAAAAAACCAAUCUCAUUUGGAUAAAAAAUACGACAUCAGAAGAAUAUGAUUUGAUGUUUAGACAGUGCUUUGACAUCUAGUAGCGAGUAAAAAGAAAAUAAAACGAGAAAAAAUAUUUCUAUUAGGAAGUUAAUUAAGUUGUAGUACACAGUACACAUGACAACUGAAAGUGUUUUAAGUUUUCUUCAGAGAAAAUUUACCUCAAGCACACGUACGUAACAUCAGCUUAUGUGUUAGAUUACUAAACUGAGGGCUACAACAAGAGUAAAGCCAACAUCCCAUGUUCCCAUCUCAUCACGUUGUGUACACAGCGACUAUAGAUUUUUCUUCCUUGUAUAAACAACGACUAUAGAUUUUUCUUCCUUGUAUAAACAACAUGGGGCAUCUAUGUUUUUACCCCUGCUUUGAAGUGUAAUUAUGAUUUUGCCCUUAUUUUUUCAACUUUGUAUAAUUUGUUAUCUUUCUUAAGUGAUCGUCAUUUUAAUUCUAUAGACACUAUGCUCUAUUACUUAGAUAAUGUGCAAUUCUGAAAACACGUUUUAUAUUUAAAAUCAUCUGACCAUGUUUCAUAUUUUAAAAAACCAGGCGCAUGAGUUAUGUGGACCCCUUUUUGCCGGCUCCAAAGCUCUGGCUAAUAAGAAAAGAAAUCCAGCUCCCCUUGAACAAACACAGAAUGACCAGGAGAAGAACAUCUACUUUGGGACUCGUGAAAAAACUUCAAAAGAAAACUUCUUCAAAAGCUUUGGCUGUAGAGCCUAAAACAAGAGCUACGUCAUUGACCGUGGCAAAUAUAAGAGAUUGUGCAAAAUAGCAAUGCCAGGAAAAGAAUUAUCCUUAUUUAACAUCUCCUCAGCUACGACUGAAGCGUCAUCUUCAAUCUCUCAUCUCUCCC